CCUGCGCAGUCAGUUAAGCAGAGUCCACUGGCGAAAGUAGUGGGGCUGCCCAGGAGAAAGAUGGCCGCCACCAGCGAGGAACCGAGUGUUAUGGAGCCUUCUCAGACGAAUUCUGGGCAAAGUCAAUCCGUCGAUCCGCUAAAGAUGCUUUAUCCGAUGGUAAACGAAGAGGAAACGCCGCUGCCACGCUCGUGGAGCCCCAAGGACAAGUACAAUUACAUCGGCCUCUCCCAAAACAAUCUUCGUGUUCACUACAAAGGUUAUGGAAAAACUCACAAAGAUGCUGCGAGUGUCCGUACAACACAUUGCAUACCAGCAGCUUGUGGUCUCUAUUAUUUUGAAGUGAAGAUCGUUAGUAAAGGCAGAGAUGGUUACAUGGGAAUUGGCCUGUCUGCCCAUGGAGUGAAUGUGAACAGGUUGCCAGGCUGGGACAAACACUCCUAUGGGUAUCACGGAGAUGAUGGGCAUAGUUUCUGUUCUUCUGGAACAGGACAACCUUAUGGGCCCACAUUCACCACAGGAGAUGUAAUUGGAUGUGGUGUAAAUCUUGUCGACAACACUGCCUUCUAUACGAAAAAUGGACAUCAUCUUGGUAUUGCCUUCACUGAUCUUCCGCCAAAUUUAUAUCCAACUGUGGGUCUUCAAACGCCAGGGGAGGUAGUUGAUGCAAACUUUGGACAGGAACCAUUUGUUUUUGAUAUCGACGACAUGCUUAACGAACUUCGGGUUAAAACAAGAUUGCAAAUUAUAAACUAUCCCACGCCAGAUCACGGUCAGGGUCAGUGGCAAGCAGUCCUUCACAAAAUGGUGUCAACAUAUUUGGUCCAUCACGGAUACUGUGCCACUGCCGAAGCAUUUGCCAAUAGUACUGGUCAAGGAUUUGAAGAAGAUCUUAAUUCCAUUAAAAAUAGACAAAAAAUUCUAAAGUUGGUACUGGCGGGUAGAAUGGGAGAAGCAAUAGAGUUAACCAGUCGACUGUAUCCAGGUCUUCUGGAACGGGAUCCCAAUCUUCUCUUCGCCCUCAAAUGUCGACAAUUCGUUGAAAUGGUGAACGGUAGUGAUUCCGAAAUCACUCAAAAUUCCAAUGUCAAUCAAACUAGUGUUAUACAAUCUACGAAGGCUUACACCAAAUCUUCAGCAAACGGCAACGUCGAGGAGAUGAACAUGAACAACGCCAUGAAUGGUUCCACCGAACAGCAAUUGGUUAAUGGACAACUUGAAAACGAUGUAGAUAUGGAAGAGAAUGUUAUAAACGGCAUGAAAAGUAAUACCGAAAACAGUUAUCAAAACGGUGACUUGAGUACCAACGGGUAUAAAUGUCAGAACGGGGAAGAUGUCGACAUGGAGACCAACAAUGUCAAUCAAAUUCAGCAACAACAGAACGGUAAUUGCAAUAUGGAGAACACAUCGAAUAGGAAUAACAAGAAACAGCUUUGCGGCGGGGAUAAGCAGGCAAUCGAGAAGAUGUUGGAAUUCGGGAGGCAGUUAUAUUCUCAGUCGAUACAUCUGCGACAACAACACGGAAAGAACGAAAGCAAUAAAAAGAUGCUUCAAGAUGCGUUCAGUCUUCUAGCAUAUGCAAAUCCAUGGAAUUCACCGGUAGGUUGGCAACUCGAUCCUCAACAGAGGGAGACCGUUUGUGCGAGACUUAAUUCUGCCAUACUCGAAUCGAGUAAUUUGCCACGACGGCCACCGUUGGAAGUGGCCACCUCUCAUGCAAGAGAAUUGGUACGGUUAAUGUCUCACGCUGGUCUUGGAGCAUGCGGCUUCGCGGUCGUAGAUAAUAUCAUUCAAUAUUGACGGUGCCUACCCCUGCUGCCACGUCUGCUUCUUCUGCCGACUCGAGUUUGCCAAAAAUCUUCGUGAAAAAAUUAAUCCGACCGUGGGUAAAGAUAUAAUAGUUCCACAGACGAGUCUGUGAUAAUUCAAUGAUGUCGACCGAGCUCUGUGGCACGAAGUUGCUUUAUAAAAUUCUGUAGGUAUUUAUCAAGUCUUUAGAUACGUACGUCACGGGCUUUUAAACCAGUAUAUUGUGCACCGUAAAUGUCAUCCGCCUUCUAGCAAAAUACAUAUAUUUGUUACAGUACCUAGAGGUUUCCUUGUUAAAUGUAGUCUGUUUAUUCUUGCCUAGAUAUUGAUGUAUCUUUUAGGAAGGCAAUGUAUGUAUCUUGCAAGAAUACAACAUAUUCAUGAAGUGUCGU
RNA transcript from Frieseomelitta varia, 2201 nucleotides. It is a transcript of the gene named ran-binding protein 9, with no coding region annotated. The transcript is spliced from 8 exons. Lineage: Eukaryota; Metazoa; Arthropoda; Insecta; Hymenoptera; Apidae. The record is from RefSeq and is a predicted model, not a curated record.